RNAcentral lists this transfer RNA (75 nucleotides) under bacterium. RNAcentral describes it as "tRNA-Val". It matches the Rfam family "tRNA". Rfam says of the family: Transfer RNA (tRNA) molecules are approximately 80 nucleotides in length. Their secondary structure includes four short double-helical elements and three loops (D, anti-codon, and T loops). Further hydrogen bonds mediate the characteristic L-shaped molecular structure. tRNAs have two regions of fundamental functional importance: the anti-codon, which is responsible for specific mRNA codon recognition, and the 3' end, to which the tRNAs corresponding amino acid is attached (by aminoacyl-tRNA synthetases). tRNAs cope with the degeneracy of the genetic code in two manners: having more than one tRNA (with a specific anti-codon) for a particular amino acid; and 'wobble' base-pairing, i.e. permitting non-standard base-pairing at the 3rd anti-codon position. The record is from RNAcentral.
GGGCGGUUAGCUCAGUGGUAGAGCAUUUGUUUGACGUACAAAGGGUCAUCAGUUCAACUCUGAUACCGCCCACCA